CCUACGGGUGGCAGCAGUGAGGAAUAUUGGUCAAUGGGCGAGAGCCUGAACCAGCCAAGUCGCGUGAAGGAUGACGGCCCUACGGGUUGUAAACUUCUUUUGUCAGGGAGCAAUUGAGUCCACGUGUGGUCUUAGCGAGAGUACCUGAAGAAAAAGCAUCGGCUAACUCCAUGCCAGCAGCCGCGGUAAUACGGAGGAUGCGAGCGUUAUCCGGAUUUAUUGGGUUUAAAGGGUGCGUAGGCGGAAUAUCAAGUCAGCGGUAAAAAUUCGGGGCUCAACCCCGUCGUGCCGUUGAAACUGAUGUUCUUGAGUGGGCGAGAAGUAUGCGGAAUGCGUGGUGUAGCGGUGAAAUGCGUAGAUAUAUGGAAGAACACCAGUGGCGAAGGCGGCUGUCUGGUCUGCAACUGACGCUGAGGCUCGAAAGCAUGGGUAGCAAACAGGAUUAGAUACCCUGGUAGUC
This 460-nucleotide ribosomal RNA is filed under the name uncultured bacterium. RNAcentral describes it as "partial 16S ribosomal RNA". It matches the Rfam family "Bacterial small subunit ribosomal RNA", at positions 338 to 795 of the family's 1533-position model. The record is from RNAcentral.